This 836-nucleotide ribosomal RNA is filed under the name uncultured Gracilibacillus sp. Its description in RNAcentral is "bacterial SSU rRNA". It matches the Rfam family "Bacterial small subunit ribosomal RNA", at positions 17 to 819 of the family's 1533-position model. The record is from RNAcentral. Lineage: Bacteria; Bacillati; Bacillota; Bacilli; Caryophanales; Bacillaceae.
UCCUGGCUCAGGACGAACGCUGGCGGCGUGCCUAAUACAUGCAAGUCGAGCGCGGGAAGCAAAUCGAUUCCUUCGGGAUGAAGUUUGUGGAACGAGCGGCGGACGGGUGAGUAACACGUGGGCAACCUACCUGCAAGACUGGGAUAACUCCGGGAAACCGGGGCUAAUACGGGAUAGAGUUUCCUCUCGCAUGAGAGGAAUCGGAAAGGCGGCUUCGGCUGUCACUUACAGAUGGGCCCGCGGCGCAUUAGCUAGUUGGUGGGGUAAUGGAUCACCAAGGCAACGAUGCGUAGCCGACCUGAGAGGGUGAUCGGCCACACUGGGACUGAGACACGGCCCAGACUCCUACGGGAGGCAGCAGUAGGGAAUCUUCCGCAAUGGACGAAAGUCUGACGGAGCAACGCCGCGUGAACGAAGAAGGUUUUCGGAUCGUAAAGUUCUGUUGUUAGGGAAGAACAAGUACCGUUUGAAUAAGGCGGUACCUUGACGGUACCUAUCGAGGAAGCCCCGGCUAACUACGUGCCAGCAGCCGCGGUAAUACGUAGGGGGCAAGCGUUGUCCGGAAUUAUUGGGCGUAAAGCGCGCGUAGGCGGUUUCUUAAGUCUGAUGUGAAAUCUUGCGGCUCAACCGCAAGCGGUCAUUGGAAACUGGGGAACUUGAGUGCAGAAGAGGAGAGUGGAAUUCCACGUGUAGCGGUGAAAUGCGUAGAGAUGUGGAGGAACACCAGUUGGCGAAGGCGACUCUCUGGUCUGUAACUGACGCUGAGGUGCGAAAGCGUGGGUAGCGAACAGGAUUAGAUACCCUGGAUAGUCCACGCCGUAAACGAUGAGUGCUAG